CCUCCUUUCUUGGCAUGCACGCGCUCUCCGUGCACGUGCGUGUAUGUAUGGAGGGAGAGAAGUGUCCAGUGUAAUGUCUUCGGUGCUAGUGUGUUUCCAUGACCUAGUUCUAUCCUCAAGCACUGGAACACGC
This is a small nucleolar RNA of Scleropages formosus (Asian bonytongue), 133 nucleotides long. Ensembl annotates it as small nucleolar RNA SNORA57. Its record names the gene SNORA57. Lineage: Eukaryota; Metazoa; Chordata; Actinopteri; Osteoglossiformes; Osteoglossidae. The record is from Ensembl.